This 284-nucleotide ribosomal RNA is filed under the name uncultured bacterium. RNAcentral describes it as "partial 16S ribosomal RNA". It matches the Rfam family "Bacterial small subunit ribosomal RNA", at positions 28 to 310 of the family's 1533-position model. The record is from RNAcentral.
GAUGAACGCUAGCUACAGGCUUAACACAUGCAAGUCGAGGGGCAUCGCGGCGUAGCAAUACGCUGGCGGCGACCGGCGCACGGGUGAGUAACACGUAUCCAACCUGCCUCCAGCCCGGGGAUAGCCUUCCGAAAGGAAGAUUAAUACCCGAUGGCAUCUGCCUUCCGCAUGGUCGGCAGAUUAAAGAUUUAUCAGCUGGAGAUGGGGAUGCGUUCCAUUAGGCAGUCGGCGGGGUAACGCCCACGACCGCGAUGGAUAGGGGUUCUGAGAGGAAGGUCCCCCCA